GCCGGGCGUGGUGGCUCACGCCUGUAAUCCCAACAUUUUGGGAGGCAGAGGCAGGUGGAUCACCUGAGGUCAGGAGUUCGAAACCAGCCUGGCCAACAUAGUGAAACCCUGUCUCUA
This is an unclassified non-coding RNA of Pongo abelii (Sumatran orangutan), 117 nucleotides long. It matches the Rfam family "Metazoan signal recognition particle RNA". From Rfam's summary of the family: The signal recognition particle (SRP) is a universally conserved ribonucleoprotein. It is involved in the co-translational targeting of proteins to membranes. The record is from Ensembl. NCBI's taxonomy places the organism in Eukaryota, Metazoa, Chordata, Mammalia, Primates, Hominidae.